Molecule: ribosomal RNA, 798 nt
Filed under: uncultured beta proteobacterium
Lineage: Bacteria; Pseudomonadati; Pseudomonadota; Betaproteobacteria
Description: bacterial SSU rRNA
Rfam family: Bacterial small subunit ribosomal RNA
Source: RNAcentral
UAAUACAUCGGAACGUGUCCAGUAGCGGGGGAUAACCUGUCGAAAGAUAGGCUAAUACCGCAUACGACCUACGGGUGAAAGCGGGGGACUCUCGGGCAACUGAGGGCCUCGCACUAUUGGAGCGGCCGAUGUCGGAUUAGCUAGUUGGCGGGGUAACGGCCCACCAAGGCGACGAUCCGUAGCUGGUCUGAGAGGACGACCAGCCACACUGGAACUGAGACACGGUCCAGACUCCUACGGGAGGCAGCAGUGGGGAAUUUUGGACAAUGGGCGCAAGCCUGAUCCAGCCAUGCCGCGUGAGUGAAGAAGGCCUUCGGGUUGUAAAGCUCUUUCGGCGGGGACGAAACGGUCCGUGACAACACCACGGACUAAUGACGGUACUCGCAGAAGAAGCACCGGCUAACUACGUGCCAGCAGCCGCGGUAAUACGUAGGGUGCGGGCGUUAAUCGGAAUUACUGGGCGUAAAGCGUGCGCAGGCGGCUCCUUAAGUCAGAUGUGAAAUCCCCGGGCUUAACCUGGGAACUGCGUUUGAAACUGAGGGGCUUGAGUGUGGAAGAGGGGGGUGGAAUUCCAGGUGUAGCAGUGAAAUGCGUAGAGAUCUGGAGGAACACCGAUGGCGAAGGCAGCCCCCUGGGCUAACACUGACGCUCAUGCACGAAAGCGUGGGGAGCAAACAGGAUUAGAUACCCUGGUAGUCCACGCCCUAAACGAUGUCAACUAGUUGUCGGGGAAGCAAUUCCUUGGUAACGAAGCUAACGCGUGAAGUUGACCGCCUGGGGAGUACGGCCGCAAGGUUA